This 253-nucleotide ribosomal RNA is filed under the name uncultured bacterium. Its description in RNAcentral is "partial 16S ribosomal RNA". It matches the Rfam family "Bacterial small subunit ribosomal RNA", at positions 524 to 776 of the family's 1533-position model. The record is from RNAcentral.
UACAGAGGUCCCGAGCGUUGUUCGGAUUCACUGGGCGUAAAGGGUGCGUAGGUGGUGCGGUAAGUCGGAUGUGAAAUCUCCAGGCUCAACCUGGAAACUGCAUUGGAAACUACCUUGCUGGAGGAUUUGAGGGGGGAUUGGAAUACUUGGUGUAGCAGUGAAAUGCGUAGAUAUCAAGUGGAACACCAGUGGCGAAGGCGAAUCCCUGGAAAAUACCUGACACUGAGGCACGAAAGCUAGGGGAGCAAACAGG